Molecule: small nuclear RNA, 312 nt
Filed under: Vulpes vulpes (red fox)
Lineage: Eukaryota; Metazoa; Chordata; Mammalia; Carnivora; Canidae
Description: 7SK RNA (ENSVVUG00000010716.1)
Rfam family: 7SK RNA
About the family: 7SK was discovered as an abundant small nuclear RNA in the mid-70s but a possible function has only recently been suggested. Two independent studies have found that 7SK RNA binds the CDK9/cyclin T complex (known as elongation factor P-TEFb). P-TEFb activates transcription by phosphorylating the C-terminal domain of RNA polymerase II.
Source: Rfam by way of RNAcentral
GGACAUGAAAGCAAACUGGCUGUGGCAUCUGUCACCCCUUUGGUUGCCAGGGUUGAUUCACCGGAUUUGGCUGCCCCGGCAGGUGUCUCCUUCCUCUCUUACCAGUCCAUGUGCUGCAUGCUAGGUUGAAGAGGACAACCUUCCCUGAUAGGGGAGAACUGUUCUUCAGUCAAGGGUAUACCAGUAGCUGCAGUCCCUGCUAGAACUUCCAAACAAGCUCUCAAGGUCCCUUUGUAGGAUAAUGUAGUGUAGUCAGCUCCCAAAACUCCGGACACCUCCAAAUGAGGUGCUGCAUACAGUAGACUGCCUACU